UCUACGUAUAGUGUAGUGGUUAGGCAUUCCAAGGCUUUCUCCAUUGAUCCCCAACCUAGGUCGGCGAUAUUUAACAAGCUUGGAGACCUAGGUUCAAAUCCUGGUGCGAGAA
This is a non-coding RNA of Triangularia setosa, 112 nucleotides long. NCBI's taxonomy places the organism in Eukaryota, Fungi, Ascomycota, Sordariomycetes, Sordariales, Podosporaceae. The record is from the annotation of a GenBank genome assembly.